ACAUGCAAGUCGAGCGGAAACGACUUAUCUGAACCUUCGGGGAACGAUAACGGCGUCGAGCGGCGGACGGGNGAGUAAUGCCUAGGAAAUUGCCUUGAUGUGGGGGAUAACCAUUGGAAACGAUGGCUAAUACCGCAUAAUGCCUACGGGCCAAAGAGGGGGACCUUCGGGCCUCUCGCGUCAAGAUAUGCCUAGGUGGGAUUAGCUAGUUGGUGAGGUAAUGGCUCACCAAGGCGACGAUCCCUAGCUGGUCUGAGAGGAUGAUCAGCCACACUGGAACUGAGACACGGUCCAGACUCCUACGGGAGGCAGCAGUGGGGAAUAUUGCACAAUGGGCGAAAGCCUGAUGCAGCCAUGCCGCGUGUAUGAAGAAGGCCUUCGGGUUGUAAAGUACUUUUUAGGUGUGAGGAGGGGGUGUCGUUAAUAGCGGCAUCUCUUGACGUUAGCAACAGAAGAAGCACCGGCUAACUCCGUGCCAGCAGCCGCGGUAAUACGGAGGGUGCGAGCGUUAAUCGGAAUUACUGGGCGUAAAGUGCAUGCAGGUGGUUCAUU
Molecule: ribosomal RNA, 552 nt
Filed under: Vibrio splendidus
Lineage: Bacteria; Pseudomonadati; Pseudomonadota; Gammaproteobacteria; Vibrionales; Vibrionaceae
Description: bacterial SSU rRNA
Rfam family: Bacterial small subunit ribosomal RNA
Source: RNAcentral